CCUACGGGUGGCUGCAGUCGAGAAUCAUUCACAAUGGGGGAAACCCUGAUGGUGCGACGCCGCGUGGGGGAAUGAAGGUCUUCGGAUUGUAAACCCCUGUCAUGUGGGAGCAAAUUAAAAAGAUAGUACCACAAGAGGAAGAGCCGGCUAACUCGGUGCCAGCAGCCGCGGCAAUACAGAGGUCUCAAGCGUUGUUCGGAAUCACUGGGCGUAAAGCGUGCGUAGGAUGUUUCGUAGGUCGUGUGUGAAAGGCGCGGGCUCAACCCGCGGACGGCAAUUGAUACUGCGGGACUAGAGUGAUGAAGGGGGAACAGGAAUGCGCGGUGUAGCAGUGAAAUGCAUAGAUAUC
Molecule: ribosomal RNA, 349 nt
Filed under: uncultured bacterium
Lineage: Bacteria
Description: partial 16S ribosomal RNA
Rfam family: Bacterial small subunit ribosomal RNA
Source: RNAcentral